AAGCAAACAGUAUAAGAUAACCUGGAAGUCAAUGACGUAAACGUAUGCCACUAGGUGUGGGGGCCAUUCCACGGUUUCCGCGCCGCAGCUAACGCAUUAAGUGCCCCGCCGGGGGAGUACGGCCGCAAGGCUAAAACUCAAAGGAAUUGACGGGGGCCCGCACAAGCGGCGGAGCAUGCGGAGUAAUUCGAUGCAACGCGAAGAACCUUACCAAGGCUUGACAUGUGACGGAC
This 233-nucleotide ribosomal RNA is filed under the name Sinomonas sp. BAgro211. Its description in RNAcentral is "partial 16S ribosomal RNA". It matches the Rfam family "Bacterial small subunit ribosomal RNA", at positions 766 to 996 of the family's 1533-position model. Lineage: Bacteria; Bacillati; Actinomycetota; Actinomycetes; Micrococcales; Micrococcaceae. The record is from RNAcentral.